RNAcentral lists this ribosomal RNA (501 nucleotides) under uncultured bacterium. Its description in RNAcentral is "partial 16S ribosomal RNA". It matches the Rfam family "Bacterial small subunit ribosomal RNA", at positions 30 to 523 of the family's 1533-position model. The record is from RNAcentral.
AUUGAACGCUGGCGGCAUGCCUUACACAUGCAAGUCGAACGGCAGCACGGGUGCUUGCACCUGGUGGCGAGUGGCGAACGGGUGUGUAAUACAUCGGAACGUACCUUAUCGUGGGGGAUAACGCAGCGAAAGCUGUGCUAAUACCGCAUACGCCCUGAGGGGGAAAGCGGGGGAUCGCAAGACCUCGCGCGAUUAGAGCGGCCGAUGCCUGAUUAGCUUGUUGGUGGGGUAAAAGCCCACCAAGGCGACGAUCAGUAGCUGGUCUGAGAGGACGGUCAGCCACACUGGGACUGAGACACGGCCCAGACUCCUACGGGAGGCAGCAGUGGGGAAUUUUGGACAAUGGGGGCAACCCUGAUCCAGCAAUGCCGCGUGAGUGAAGAAGGCCUUCGGGUUGUAAAGCUCUUUUGUCAGGGAAGAAACACCGGCUCUAACACAGUCUGGGAAUGACGGUACCUGAAGAAUAAGCACCGGCUAACUACGUGCCAGCCGCCGCCGUAA